GUCUCAGGGCGGGGUGAAAUUCCCCACCGGUGGUUAUAGUCCACGAGCGCGAACCGCGUGACAAUAUCGCGCGGUUCGGUCAGCAGAAUCGGUGAGAUUCCGAUACCGACGGUUAAAGUCCGGAAGAAAGAGAA
Molecule: non-coding RNA, 134 nt
Filed under: human gut metagenome
Description: FMN riboswitch (RFN element)
Rfam family: FMN riboswitch aptamer (RFN element)
About the family: The RFN element is a highly conserved domain that is found frequently in the 5'-untranslated regions of prokaryotic mRNAs that encode for flavin mononucleotide (FMN) biosynthesis and transport proteins.
Source: RNAcentral